UCAGAAGCUCAUACAAAGGUUCUGUAACGCCCCGAUUUUCGUUCGGGUUUAAAAAUCAUUUAAUAAUGCAUUUCUAGAAAUUAUAUUAAAAGUUAAAGCAAUUUAUUCGAAUGAAUUAAUGGGAGAAUUAAAAUUUUCCCUUAAAAUCAUUGGCCGGGAAUAUUUUGUAAUAUUCUUUGUGCCUUAAAAUACUCUCUGAAAUUUCUAGUGAAUUUUCGGAGCUCAAGAAAUAACUUUAAUAGCACAAAGUUCAUUUAAUCAAUUAAAAUAAAAAGAAAACAAACAAAAUUUCCCCUCUUUGUCUUUGGGCCGCUUUCGGCCCAAGAUCUUUUCCCCCUCCUUGGCCCGCUCGCCCCUCUCUCCUUCCCCCUCCCCCUCUCGGGCUCUCUCUCUCCCUCGGCCUAGCUCGCCGCUCGGCCCUCUCCUCCCCGAAGUCUACUCUGCCUCCCCAGCCGGCCUCCCUCUCCUCUUUGGCCAACAGAUGGGACCCAUGGGCCCACCUGUCAUCCCCAACCUCAGGCCGGCAACUGCCGUUGCCGCCAUGGCCGCCGAAAACCGCCCACGUCGCCGCCAUUCCCGGCCUCCUCGAGCCCUCUCUCGCGUGGGACCGGAAGCCACCCCUCUCCUCCACCUCCUCCCCCGUUUUUCCCCAAAAACCGGCGCCAGUUUGGCCCCCCCACGAUCCCACGAUGCCUCGCCACUUCGCCGGCCGUUGCCGCCCCACUCGGCCACGAUCUCCCCCUCCGGGGCCUAUAAAAGUGUACCCCGGCCUCCCCUCAUCCAUUUCCCCAACUCGCCGCCCCCUCCCGCGCGCUCUCUCGAGCUCCCCACGCCGCUCUCGUGCGCCGCCGCACGCCGGCGACCAUCCAGCCGCGCGCCAUCACCGUUUCCGUCGCCCCCGCACUGCGCCGCUGCCACCUAUAGCUUUGCAUCGCCCCACCGCACCCUGGCAUCCGCUCCAUUUCCCCUCCCCGCCUCCGAAGCACCGCCGCCACGCGCACCAUCUCUUUCCUCCACCAUCGCCAACUCCAGCCGCGCACCACCGCCACCAUAGCCGUCGCCGCUUCGCGCCGCCAACAUCGCCAGCUUCUCCGCCACGCGGGCUAGCUCAGCCACCGCUCCGUUUUCCCCUUUCCCUACCGAAACCACCAUUUCACCGUGCACCCGAGGUCGCCGACAUAUUCACCGCCUCCGGUCGCACCUCGCCGCCGCUGCCACGCCGCGCCAACACCGCCGUCGGCUUCGCCGUGCCUUGCCGCUGCCCGUCCGCCCCUCCUUUUCCACUCGCACCCCUUGGAACACCAUUCCCACCUCAAACCCGAGCCCCACCACUAACUGCCGCCAACCGGCCGCCUCUUGCCGCCGUCCCCAUCUACCUCACGCCACGCCACCGCCUCCACCGCAUUCGCUGCAUCCCACCGCCCCUCGGCCGCGGCUCCGCCGUGGUCGGGCGUCGUCGGAACGCCGUUCUCGUCGCCUCCCGUGCCGACCGCCGCCAUCCUUUCCGCCGCCGGUCGCCUCUCCGUGGUCGUCUCGCCGUCGCCGCCCUCGGUGAGCACUCCUCCCUCUUCCCUGUUUCUCCCCUUGGCCGGCCGCCUCCCGUGCUUGCGCGCGCCGUGCCGCCGCCGCCGGUGGCCGCCCAGCCCGUGUGCCGCCGUCGCUUUGGUCCCAGCCGCCGCCGCCGCCAGCCUUGUGUGCGCGCUGGCCAGGCCGCGUCGCCCGGCCGUCCCCAGCCGUCCGAUUGGCCUUGGCCGAUCUGGGCCGUCCAACCCGUGGACCGGCGGUGGACCGUCCAUUGUGGUCCCGGUCCACGGUGGACCGCCACCUCGUCUCGCUGACGUGUGGGGCCCGCCUGUCGGCGCCGGCGCCCCUUGCUGACGUCAGCGAAUGCCUUUUCCUUUGAGAAAAUAAUUGAUAAUUGCGCAAUAAAUCAUUAAUAAUUAUAGAAAUCCAUUUAAAUGGCUCAAAACUUCUAAAAUUCAUAUCUAAUUCAUUCGAACUCCAAAUUGGGCCAUUCAACUUGCAAAAUUCAUCUAAAAUUGAGCUCUACAUGUUUGUUUACUUUUUAUGUACUGUUUCCUUGGUUUUUAUUAGAGUUUUCCUCGUUUUGCAUGCCAGCGUGUAGUUCCCGUCGUUUCGGAAGAUCGCGUUCGCAAGGAUAAGAGUUCAUAAGAUCCAAGUGAAGAAGCAAGGCAAGUCACACAUUCCCCUUGAGCAUGUUGAUCCCAAUUUAUAAAUGUUUUACCGUUUACAAAUAAAUAGGCAUGUUUUGCUAAUUACAUGGGAUCCGGGUAUUACCUAUCUGCUCGCUUGUGCCAUAUUUACUUGAUAUCUGUUCUUUAUCAACCUUGGGUAAUGAAUCGACUAGCUCAUGUUACUUAUGUGACCUAGCUCAGUUGAUGGGAUAAUUACAGUAUUAGACCUUUUUAGUAUCAGAGUGAGCUGCGUGCUCGAGACAUCUGGCCAUGCUUCAUGGUCGUAAUUAUCCAACUAAAAUGCGACUGAAUGGUGGGCUGUGGGUGCAUGGUUUUGCUAGUCGCACCCAUGGCAAUUAAGGACCAGUUCACGGGAUGCCCUGGAAGAACUUAUCGUACUUACCACAAGCCAGCGUGGGCAACGGCUGGGCUUGUAGUGUAGCUUUCCUCUAGCCGACGCAUCCAGGCAAGGGUGGGUGUGAUGGAGUUUGGAUGGGCCCUGCGACGGCCUAUGCGGCUUCCGGAUUCACCUAGGCACGAGAGGGGACUGCCCGCUGCCUUGCGAGGAGUGAGGGUGAAACCUGAGGUGUGGUGUGCUUGGUUAGAGGGGGUUAUGCGAAGGGUCCUGUCACGGCCUCUUUCCGGUAUGUCGUGGUGGCAUGUCGGCGCACGGAAACGUGUCGUGGGGCUGUGUCUUGUGGGUACAGUUGUACACCUCUGAUCAGAGUAAAGCUAUUCGAAUAGCCGUGCCCGCGGUUAUGGGCGGUCGACCAGAUUCACCGUGAUUAGUCCCACCUUAAUAAAUCGACUCAAUACACUGUAGUUCAGGUGGGUUGGUUGGGCCUGUUCAACGUGGUGUAGCGUUGAUCAGUGGAGAUUCAAUAUUACUUUAAUUACUCAACCGUUUUACUGUUUUGCUCAAUAAAAUGUUUUACAACCGCCAUUAUGCAAAUAGCCACAAACCAUCCUUGUAUCCCCUUGCACAUCUGCAUCGUUGGUGUGGCUUGCUGAGUACGGUAGUUGUACUCAGUCUUGCUAUUAUUCCCCCUUUUUCAGAAGUGUAGUGCUUCUGAGCUGAAGAUGGAGUUAGAGGACCAAGGCUCAGACCCCAGUUGAGUUUUGCCUGUGGAGUGGAGCUGAAGCCCCGCUAGGAUCGCCUUUUUCCGCUGCUGUCGUUCUAUUUCGGUGUGAGGACUAAGUGCCUCUUCCGUAAGUAUUUUACGCUUUAUUUACGUUUGGAACUGUAUAUUACUUGUCGUUUUGUGUACCCUGGAUGGUCCUGGACAGGGAUUUAAUACGCAAAAUAGUCUGGAAAUUUGGGUUAAAUUUCUGGGCGUGACAGGUUCUUUGUCAGCCUCACUAAAAUUGUUCCAACCAAUGCGUUUGAUAGGUGCAUGGUACCUAGUAACAAUCCCAAUCUCCCUUGAAAGUAGUUCAUGAUUUUCUCCAAUUGGCCUCCUCUCUACUGAAAUAUUCAAGUUCAGUGGGUGACCAGCUUUUUUUAUCAGGAGCUCCAGACCUUUUGAUUUAUUCUUUCCACGCACUUUCUUGGAGUUGGAAGUAGAAACAUGCUGAGUUUGUGGGCAAUUAGAUGGUUGUGAGUUUCUUGGAGG
This 3808-nucleotide long non-coding RNA is filed under the name Oryza sativa (Asian cultivated rice). Its description in RNAcentral is "long non-coding RNA (OSAT_LNC000135)". The record is from RNAcentral. Lineage: Eukaryota; Viridiplantae; Streptophyta; Magnoliopsida; Poales; Poaceae.